This 216-nucleotide ribosomal RNA is filed under the name Triticum aestivum (bread wheat). RNAcentral describes it as "partial small subunit ribosomal RNA". The record is from RNAcentral. Lineage: Eukaryota; Viridiplantae; Streptophyta; Magnoliopsida; Poales; Poaceae.
AUGAACGGCGGCGACGAGCUCGGCCAUCCAUGGCGGACGCAGCUAGGAGCAUGGGAACACGCGCGGGUAUAUAAAGUAUUCGAUAGUUAUAGUAAAUUAAUACACAACCUGUACAAUAAGAAAUUGAUUCUUAAUCGUAAAAUGCUUGCACAAGUAGAUGUAUCAUAUCCAAAUGAUCUUUACACGAUUUCCAAUAAAAUAAAGAUCAUCAGAUAA